This is a non-coding RNA of Peromyscus maniculatus bairdii (prairie deer mouse), 790 nucleotides long. The record is from RefSeq and is a predicted model, not a curated record. Lineage: Eukaryota; Metazoa; Chordata; Mammalia; Rodentia; Cricetidae.
AACAGAAAUUGGACAAGGAAAAAAAAUGAGGUGGUCGAUGAGAAACUCAUCAUGAACAGUCUGUGUAUCUCCACUCUGCUAUUAUGUAUGACUUUAAUAUGCUACUCCUUUUGUUUAAAUGAUGUCCUUAGACUGUAGGAAAAUGUCCUGUUCUUUCUCAUAGAGCACAGUACAUAAAGUACUCAGAUCAACAUCUAAUACUUGUUAAGGGCAGAAAAUAAUCCAAGGCCCAGCUAUUCUGUGACACUGACUCCUUAGGGGUACAAAUAAUGACUGCUGUCAAAGAUCAUUGUUGACUCUCCAGCACAAUUGAUUUCUUGUGAUAUCACAGACUUACAGGUGACAUGGCAGACCCCACCAGGACUCUGCCCUUACUGACUUCCUUCUCUAGGUCAGAAAAUCUCCAACAUGAGCUGGAAUAGUCCACAGCUCAGGAUGAGAGCCUCUUGCCAACAGAGCUGCUGCAGCAGGAGCACUAAGUGUCUUAAGCAACACCCUUUAUGAGAACUGAGGAAGCUGAAGGAAUCCAUAGUCAACCGGAACCCCUGACAUUCUCCACUCGAUGAUCAAGGCCUCCUCAGAGCAAGACAUGUACUACUAGUUGUCAAAUCACCAGUGAGGCAAAUAUCAUCUGCCCUACAUGUGGUCCCUCUAUAAUCUGAUCCAUGUAUUAGCUGACUCACUAGUUAUAGAGUAAAAAGAUCAUCAAGAAGGAUAUUGAGUUUCAAAAAAAAAAAAAACCCACCAAGAAUUAUGCAGAAAAAGCUGACAUCUACCAGCAAGUGUUCCC